AGUGAACACAGCCCCGGUGCCAGGCCAGACACCCCACGAUGAGUCCGACCGCCGGACCGAGCCACACUCCUCCGUCUCAGACCUCGUCAACUCCCUCACCAGCGAGAUGCUCAUGCUCUCCCCAGGCUCCGAGGAGGAUGAGGCCCACGAGGGUUGCAGCCGAGAGAACCUGGGCCGGAUCCAGUUCAGCGUCGGCUACAACUUCCAGGAGUCCACGCUCACCGUGAAGAUCAUGAAGGCCCAGGAGCUGCCGGCCAAGGACUUCAGCGGCACCAGCGACCCCUUCGUCAAGAUCUAUCUGCUGCCCGACAAGAAGCACAAGCUGGAGACCAAGGUGAAGCGGAAGAACCUGAACCCCCACUGGAACGAGACCUUCCUCUUUGAAGCUGGGACUCUGGGCAAGUACUUUAAGCCGUCUAAGCCUCAUCUGUAAGAUGGAUGAGAUGCCAUUCACCUUGGAGAAUUGUUGAGGGAAUCCCAUGAGACAGUGACAGUUCUUGCUAGCAUUUCAGUUUUCCCUAUGAGAAGGUGGUGCAGAGGAUCCUCUACCUCCAAGUCCUGGAUUAUGACCGCUUCAGCCGCAACGACCCCAUCGGGGAGGUGUCCAUCCCCCUUAACAAGGUGGACCUGACCCAGAUGCAGACCUUCUGGAAGGAUCUGAAGCCAUGCAGUGAUGGGAGUGGGAGCCGAGGGGAGCUGCUCUUGUCUCUCUGCUACAACCCC
RNAcentral lists this small RNA (723 nucleotides) under Pongo abelii (Sumatran orangutan). RNAcentral's name for it is "processed transcript". Lineage: Eukaryota; Metazoa; Chordata; Mammalia; Primates; Hominidae. The record is from RNAcentral.